This 301-nucleotide ribosomal RNA is filed under the name uncultured bacterium. RNAcentral's name for it is "partial 16S ribosomal RNA". It matches the Rfam family "Bacterial small subunit ribosomal RNA", at positions 509 to 809 of the family's 1533-position model. The record is from RNAcentral.
CAGUCGCCGCGGUAAUACGGAGGGUGCAAGCGUUAAUCGGAAUUACUGGGCGUAAAGCGUGCGUAGGUGGUGGUUUAAGUCCGUUGUGAAAGCCCUGGGCUCAACCUGGGAAUUGCAGUGGAUACUGGGUCACUAGAGUGUGGUAGAGGAUAGUGGAAUUUCCGGUGUAGCAGUGAAAUGCGUAGAGAUCGGAAGGAACAUCUGUGGCGAAGGCGACUAUCUGGGCCAACACUGACACUGAGGCACGAAAGCGUGGGGAGCAAACAGGAUUAGAUACCCCAGUAGUCCCUGUCUCUUAUAA